RNAcentral lists this ribosomal RNA (646 nucleotides) under uncultured bacterium. RNAcentral describes it as "bacterial SSU rRNA". It matches the Rfam family "Bacterial small subunit ribosomal RNA", at positions 1 to 636 of the family's 1533-position model. The record is from RNAcentral.
CGAUUAGAGUUUGAUCCUGGCUCAGGAUGAACGCUAGCUACAGGCUUAACACAUGCAAGUCGAGGGGAAACGAUAUUGAAAGCUUGCUUUCUUUAGGCGUCGACCGGCGAAUGGGUGAGUAACGCGUAUCCAACCUGCCCCUGAGUAAGGGAUAGCCCAUCGAAAGAUGGAUUAAUACCUUAUGGUCUCCUUUGCAGACAUCUAAUUAGGAGUAAAGAUUUAUCGCUGAGGGAUGGGGAUGCGUCUGAUUAGCUUGUUGGCGGGGUAACGGCCCACCAAGGCAACGAUCAGUAGGGGUUCUGAGAGGAAGGUCCCCCACAUUGGUACUGAGACACGGACCAAACUCCUACGGGAGGCAGCAGUGAGGAAUAUUGGUCAAUGGACGGAAGUCUGAACCAGCCAAGUAGCGUGCAGGAUGACUGCCCUAUGGGUUGUAAACUGCUUUUAUACGGGGAUAAAGUCAGGGUCGUGACCCUGUUUGCAGGUACCGUAUGAAUAAGGACCGGCUAAUUCCGUGCCAGCAGCCGCGGUAAUACGGAAGGUCCAGGCGUUAUCCGGAUUUAUUGGGUUUAAAGGGAGCGUAGGCCGGAGAUUAAGUGUGUUGUGAAAUGUAGAUGCUCAACAUCUGCACUGCAGCGCAUACUGG